UACGUAGGGUGCAAGCGUUGUCCGGAAUUAUUGGGCGUAAAGAGCUCGUAGGCGGUCUGUCGCGUCGGCUGUGAAAACCUGAGGCUCAACCCCGGGCCUGCAGCCGAUACGGGCAGACUAGAAUUCGGUAGGGGAGACUGGAAUUCCUGGUGUAGCGGUGAAAUGCGCAGAUAUCAGGAGGAACACCGGUGGCGAAGGCGGGUCUCUGGGCCGAUACUGACGCUGAGGAGCGAAAGCGUGGGGAGCGAACAGG
RNAcentral lists this ribosomal RNA (253 nucleotides) under uncultured bacterium. Its description in RNAcentral is "partial 16S ribosomal RNA". It matches the Rfam family "Bacterial small subunit ribosomal RNA", at positions 524 to 776 of the family's 1533-position model. The record is from RNAcentral.